AAAGCAUGUUGCCGAAGACAGCAGGUGCCGCAAGGCGUAACCGUAAGAACCUGCCGAGGGAAUUUAUUUGAUAGUAUAUCAAUGAAUGAAUUUAGAACCUCUCUGUCUAUGGCAGAGAGGUUUUUUGUGU
This 130-nucleotide small RNA is filed under the name human gut metagenome. RNAcentral describes it as "Ribosomal protein L10 leader". It matches the Rfam family "Ribosomal protein L10 leader". From Rfam's summary of the family: This family is a putative r-protein leader autoregulatory structure found in B. subtilis and other low-GC Gram-positive bacteria. It is located in the 5' untranslated regions of mRNAs encoding ribosomal proteins L10 and L12 (rplJ-rplL). The record is from RNAcentral. RNAcentral also lists the same sequence under 1 other name.